AAAUAUCCUAGCUGCGGUAACCUUGAUCUUAAUCGAAAAUUCGUGAUAAGCUUGGCCGGAGUCUAUAAAUUGGAAGCACCCCCUGUUCCGCCUACUCGUUACGAACUCAGUGAACCACUCCUCGCCCCCGAUUACCCACCGUAGCACCCUAAUUUGGAAUUUCCCCCAAAUCCGUUCUCCGCACCGCCGUGAGCACCCCCUCCGUCGACCCACCAUCCUGUCCCUCCACCCGCCUUCCUAGCUGCCGUUCUUGAGCCUUGGUACGAUGCUAAAGCUUACCGUGCUCCCAAUUUGUAUGUCGGGAACACGUCGGGAAAGUCUCAAGCUCUGCUGGUGUACGUGGACCGAGCUCUAGGAUGGUGUUCGGGUUAAAUUAGUGAUUCCCAGUGAAUCGCCAAGGUCAGAAUUAGGUGUAGACCGAAUUAGAGCAUGAAUUAUUGAGUAUGAUGGCCGAUACAAGUUCGCCGGAGCGCUCACGCCGCCGUCCGUGGUCGGGGACCCGAUCUUGUGAAGAAGAGAAAAGGUAGGGUUCGGUGCACUUGUCAGAGACACAAGGGAAUAGUGACUAAGGAUUCUUUACGGGUUUUUCGAAUCGCUAGGGACCACUACACAAAAUCAUCAGCGCGGGCGCGCGUGGGCGUGUUUCGCCUGGUCGUGGGCCAGAUCGGGCUAGUUUCGGCGUAGUACUAUUCAUUCUUUUCUUUUUUCCUUUUUCUGCUAGGCUUGGAAAAUUGUAGGAAAUUAUAGAAAAAUGGUAAAAUUAUGGGACCAAUUUUGCUAGACUCCUAAAUUCAUCUAGUAUUUAAUAAAAAUAGUUCCAAGAUUUUUAGUCCAAACCUGAAUUUUUUUGGAAUUUAAAGAUGCCUAAACCUAGCCUUUUAGAAUUUUAGAAUUAAUUUGGUAGCUCCAAAAAUUAUAAAACUUUUUGGGUAAUCUUAGUUUAAGGAUUAAUGCCCUUGGGUAGAAUUUUACAUGCUUUGGACAUUGUUUGAUCCCAAACCUUGUUUGAUCCCAAACCUAAGGCACUAGCUUCCUAGGUUAUAAUUGCCUAACCCUAAUAGAGUACUAACCCAGGAAACUCUAGUGACUAGUGUGUACCGUGAAGAAAAGUUGUAUUCAAGAUACAACUUAUAUUUCUAGUAUAUACUUGCAUAUUUAUAGCAUCACAUAAGCAUUCAUGUAUAUGUAUUGUUAUGUAUAGAAAAUGAAGAAGUGGUAGUCGAAGAAGAAGUGAAAGGGAAAUAGGGUCAAACCUUUUCCUAAAUGAUUUUGGUGGUUGAAUUGCCCAACACAAAUAAUUGGACUAACUAGUUUGCUCUAGAUCAUACAUUCUACAGGUGCCAAAGGUUCAACAUAAACCAAUCAAAAGAACAAGUUAGACUUCAAAAGAAAGGAGCAAAAAGGAAACCAAAGUGUGCCCUGGUUUGGCGCACCGGACAGUGUCCGGUGCACCAGGGUGAAUCAGCUCAAACUCCUCAGCUUCGGGUUCUCCAGGCGCAGCUCCGCUAUAAUUCAGCGGACUGUCCGGUGUGCCACCAGACUGUCCGGUGCACCAGCGAGGCAACGGUUACCUGUGCGCAACGGUCGACUCUACAAAGUGAACAGUGCAAUUCAGAUGUCAGAGCAGAUGGUCAGAGGGGCACCGGACUAUCCGGUGUAGCAUCGGACUGUCCGGUGCCACAUGAGGACAAAGCCUCCAACGGUCGACCAGCUCCAAGCCCUAACGGGAGGAUGACGUGGCGGCGCACCGGACACGCCCAUCGCCAGCAGACUUCUCCAACGGCUACAAUUUGGUUGGUGGCUAUAAAUACCACCCCAACCAGCCACUUCAAGGUGAGGGAGCCCAAGCAACAUUCCAAGUCAUCUAGUUGACAUAUUCAAGCCCUCCCAACCACCUCUAUUCAUUGAUCCAUCAUAUACACAAGAUUUAGACCACUACAACCAACACAAGUGCCACAAAAGAGAGAGCAAGCAAGAGAGGGCUACUCAUUUGAGUUUAGCACUAGUUCCUUGUGAUAUUCAUUGAGAGAUAGUGUGUGCUACAUCUUUGUGUUCAUUUGCGCGUGGAGUUUUGACUCCCAUUGAACUUCCUCCAAAGUUUUGGAGGCUUGUAAAGCUAGCAAGAGACACCAUAGAGUGUGGUGAUCCUUGCAGGGUAUUAAGUGGUCCUUGAGAAGAAGAAGAGCUCGCCGGUCUUUGGUGAUCGGUGGAGAGAGGGAAAGGGUUGAAAGAGACCCGUCCUUAGUGGACUCCUCAACGCGGACUAGGCCUUCGAGGGCCGAACCUCGGUAAAACAAAUCACCCGUGUCUCUUGUGCUUAUUGCUUGUGAUUUGUUUGUUCUUUCUCUUUCUAAGUUUUCUUGCACUAUUCUUUGCUAAUACUAUUUGGUGUUUAUUUAAGUUAAAUUCUCAUAUAGUGAAGCAACACAUCGCAAGAAAGAACUUGUGUUAUUGCUCUUCUUAUCUAAGCCUCCUUGCCUUAUUCUCAUAGACCUAUUAGUUGUAUUUAACAAUUCCACAUUAUUUGAAAGCAAUACUCUUUACAAGCAAGGACUUAGUUUUUAUACUCCGAUAAUUGUAUAUCUUGUUCUAACCACUAAUCAAGGGAUCUAGUUGGCGGAUAAAGUUUUAAUUUUCAGGUUUCGCCUAUUCACCCCCCCUUUAGGCGACUUUCAAUUGGUAUCAGAGCCAGGCACUUCAUAUUGAGUCUAACAACUCGAAGUGAUGGCUCGAGGAAGAUCCCAAAAGAACAAGAAGACACCUCCGAAGAAAAUCAAGGAGGUAACUCUUGAGAUUUUACUUGAUGAUUGUUCUAAUUAUGCUUCAUGGUCUACUAGUGUGAUAAAAGCUUUUAGAACCAUAGAUUCACGAUUAGAACAAAUUUUAGACAAGAGUAUCAUACCCUCCAGCUAUAAUGAUAAAAAUAUUUCUGAGGAAGAUCAAAGAUGUAUACGCUUAAACUAUCUAGCUUUUGACAUCCUAGUUAAUUCUCUUAGCAAGGAAGAUUAUCAUGCCUUCAUAAUGAAUCAUUAUGAACAUAUUCCUGAUGCACAUGAUAUUUGGACUAGAAUUAAAAUCAAAUUUGAUGAGUCCAAACAUGAUAGUUCAUUUUGUGCUUCUGCUUCCUUUGGUCUUUGUGAUACUAACCCUUGCAAGGAAGAAGAAGAAAAUGACCGAUGGAAACCAAACGAUGAAUCCACCUCUCCAAAAGGUUUGUCUUCCCAUUUCGAUUCCCACAUAUGUUGUGUGGCUAAUGAAAAUGAUAGCGGAAGCACAAACGAGGAUGAGGAGGAAGAAAAAAGCUUCAUGUAACUCUACGCUCGCCUAAGCCAAGAAGAUAAGGCGGUCAUACUCAAACUUCUAGAAAGAGCGAGAGAACAAAGCGAAGCUCGUCAAAGGCUAGAAAAUGUUCUCUCCAUGAAAAUGCUACACUUUGACGAGUUGACUAAAGAACAUAAAGAGCUAAAGUGCUCUCAUGUUGAUUUGGUCCAAAGGUAUGAAACUAUUUCAAUUGAGCAAGAUAAAGCUUUACAUUGUAUCGCUCAAUUAGUAAAUAGGAAUGCCUUGCUUAAGGACCAAGUAGAAAAACUAAAAGAUGAAAAUCUAGCUUUUCAAGAAAAAUAUGAUAUGCUCCUAUGUUCUCAUGAAAAUCUUAUGGAUGAUCAUAUCAUAUUAAAUAUUACUCAUGAGGUUGUGAUAGAAAACUUAAAAUCCCAACAACCUCACUCAUGCACAUGUAUUCAAAUUGAAACUACAUUACCACGUGCUAAUGCUUGUUGUCCAUCGACAAGUAAAUCUUCCUUUGAGCUAGGAUUUGCAGGAACAAACGAUGAUACAUAUCAAAAGCUCAAAGAAGAAAAUGAAAGGCUAAAAAUGAGCUUGACACAACUAAAAGGGAAGUACAUUGCUCAACCUUCUCAAGAUAACCGUGAUCACAUGGUGAAGAAGCUUGAGACGGGAACAACCGUGGCAUGCACUAAAUCCCUUGAAGAAAAUGUCAAGGACUUGAGGAUUGCCAAGAGGAGGGAACAAAAGAAGAAAAUCAAUACCUCUUCCAAAAACCUCAACCAUGCCUCCAUAAAAGGUAACAACCAAGGUAAUAAUCAAGUCACACUUCACACUAAGAGAAGUAAGAAGUGUAGUGAAUGUUUUGAAAAGGGGCACUCGAUUAGGUCAUGUCCCUAUAUUAAAAAUGACUUGAUUAUUAACAAGGAUGAUAAACUUUGUUUUAAAUGCUCCAAGAAGGGACACUUGUUUAGGUCUUGUCGCCAUUUAAAACAAAAAGGCAUAGUGUUAGAAAAGAAAAUAUUCGCUAACCAUGUAGCAAGAAAGAAACAAGGAAAGAAGAAAUCUUCAAGACUUGAGGAUCGCCUAUGCUACAUAUGCCGAAAGAAGGGACAUCAAUGCAAGGAUUGUCCCAUUGGUAACAAUCCCACUCCUAGCUUGUCAAUUAAUUCUCAUGUAACUAGGCAACCCAAAAUUGCAACUUGUGCUAGAAAGGUAAUGAGUUUACCUAGUGCUAGCACAAAGGACGUUUGGGUUCCUAGAUCUUUGUUGACUAACCUUGAUGGACCCAUCAAGAGAUGGGUACCAAAAUAUGCUUGACAAGCUUUGCAGGAGAUGAUAUGAAGCUUUGGGGUGCUUGAGAGAGUCAAUUCAAUUCUUGUUAACUCAAGCUAUCAAUCUUCAAUGAUCUAUAUCCAUGAUUGACCUAAGGUUAUUUUUCAAAUUACUAUGUCUUAAACUCAUAUCAUCUCGGGGAAAGUAUUGAUGUUGUAGGAAAUAAAGAAUCAUCCUGUGCGAAAACAACAAGGCCUACAACGUGGAGGAAAGCCAAAGGAUGAAAUUCCUCUCAUAUGGUAGAUUGUAUAUUCAUCAUUUCUAUACCAUGGCAAUCUACAUGCUUUAAAUUGUUGUAAGUAUCUCAUGGCAUGCUUUACACUAAUCAUCCUAUUAUUGCCAUUUUCUAGAUAUAGAGAGAUAUUCCAUGUUCUUAAAAGAAUAAGGUGUCACGUAAGGAAUUCAAUUCCUUAGGACACUUAUAAAGGGAAUCUCUGUUUAUAUCUGGAAAUCGUGGGACUAAUGUUUUUGUCUAAAUAACCUAAGUAGUCUCACAUGUAGAGAAUAAGUUUCUCUUUGGAGAUGCGCAAUCUAACAUGAAAAGAAAAGUCAAUACAAUGGUUUAUGUUGUUUUGCCUCUUGCUUAAGUUGGAUAUGAUUCUUCUAUAUUUAUCGCUCUCCAUGUUAUGAAUUAGAUUUAUUCCCAUAAUCUUAAAGAAUUAUCUAUGCUUGUUUUGUAAGCAAAAUUAAGCAUACAUCAUGGAAUAACCUAGUUCAUAUUAUAAAGUUUCCAUGCUUUAGUAAUCUAUUUUCCAUUCCUUAUCAAAAUGAUUACACAAAGGGAAACUAGUGCUUGUGUUACUAAUGACAUAUCUCUUGAGCUUACUUAUGAAAAUCUACAAGAGAGGAAGUGCAAACCGCAAGCCACAAGGGUUACUCUUCACCCAAAGGAAGAAAGGUAAAAGCAAAGGUAUAGGAAUUUAUCUUAAUCAAAUAUAGUUCUCAUCAAUGGUUAUUUACUCUAAAUUCUACCUAUGAGAAGAAUAGAUUAUUUAUUGGACUUAAGUCAUCCAGAUAUAUAUUCAAUCUCAUUCUCUUAAAAUGCACUUGUCCAUUAGAAUCUAAUUCAUGCCUUUGCUAUCUCUGUUCUCAUAUUGAUAUGCUCUUAAAUCAUGAUAAUAAAUUCAAUAUGAAGAAGUAAAAUUCAUAUGAUUGAUCAAGAUAUUUAAAAAGUGUUUAUUCCUCCUUCUUAAUAAUGUGCACUAAUGUUAAGGAUCUUACUUCAUGUCUGUGUGGCUUGUGAAUGAUGAAUUGUUUAUAUUUCUUAUCUAAAAGAAAUCAUUCUUCAUCAUAUACUCCCUUGUGCUAUUAACAUCUCUCUUGAGUAUUUUCAAUAAGUUUGGAAGGAAAAAGAGUCAACUAUAAAGGGAGGACACUCAAAUGAAAAAUGAAGACAUCAAGAGCAACAACACCUACUUGGAUAAUGAGAUCUUCAAAACAAUCAUGGUGUGGUUGUAAGCAUUCUAAAUCUUUGUGAGAAUAACUAGGCAUAAGUUAUUUAUUGCAAAUCUUAUAAGCCUUGAUCAAGAUGAAUAAUGCUUCUCCCUAUUUGUCUUUAAAAGUAAGUCCAUUUCUUUCAAAACUUGAUGCAUGUCUUUAGGGGGAGCAUAUUGCUAUAUCUUGAUUAUAUUGAGACUAAUUCUUCAUCUUAGUAAUCUCACAUAGUCUCAAGUAUGAGAAUAAGUUUCUCAUGAAGUAUGCUUCUACAUUUCAAUCCUUCUUGGUAAAGUAAUGUCACCUUUAUCAAGGAUUGUAACUUUCAAUGUUAAAGUAGCAAAAUUACUGAAUUCUCCUGUUUUAAGCUUGUUUGAUAAUCUAAUGCCUAUGUUGUUCUUUUGAUCGCAUCUGUUGUUUGUUUGAUCAUUGAAUAACUUCAAUAAAACACUUAUGUUUCUUAGUGCCUCAUAAUUUCAAUCGAUGUCUCUCUUGAUGUGCACUAAGUUAAAAGGAGAAUUCAUGAUAUAUUUAUGCAAUCUGUGAUCUACUUGAUAUAUAAUAACAAUGACUUAAAAAGGAUCACUAGUUGUAGAACCCUCUUUUGUGCAAAAUAUUUCCAUACACUGUCUUGAAUAUAGGUCUUAAGUGACUAAGACUAAGGACAAAGCACAAUGAAGAGAGCGUCUCUAUGUGAAGGUACAAAAGGGUAAAACUACUUCCUCUCAUUUAUACAUGUACCGAAAUCUUCCUUUUCUAUACAUUGCUCGCUUAUCUUGUAUAAAAGGAAGAGAAAGCAUGUCUAGGUAAUAUCCCUGCUUCAUACCUAGUUCAACCUCUCAAAAAUUUUCAUUCUUGCAUUAAUGCACUUUUGUUGCAACUAGGUGAAGUGAUUUUAUUGUCAAAGAGCUUAAAGCUUAACCUUGUAACGAGGAUAAGCUACCUUUGUUCCAAAGGUGGAUGGUCCUUAAGCCUCUUUGAAAUCCGUAAGGGUAAAUGCUUGAUAUGUUUAUAACAUGCUUUCAUAAGUGCAUAAACUGUCAUGAGCACCACACUUAUACUAUGACACAAUGCACUCCACAUUCUCUAUGAUAUAGACAUGAUCUCAUUAACCUAACUAUGUGCACUUGGCUUUUAAGGCCAAAAUUUGAAUUCUCUCAAAGCAUGUAUUUAGGGGAGCAAUCUAUAUUAUAUAGAACUAUGAUUAUGCUUAAUUUGAUAUAUCCUUUGAUCAUAUCUCUUUUAUGUCUAAUGUGUUUUCAAGUAUAUUCUCAUGCUUAGUCAUAGAAUUGAAAGGAAAAUGGAGUAUUCGGCAAAGACGACGCUUCCACUCAACUCCAUCAGUGUUAUCCACUAUUUGCCGGUAUUCUGCAUAGCUCUCUAAUUUGGUAUAAUCUUCACUCAUAUAUUGUUUGCCAAAGGGGGAGAGAAAGUCAAAAGGCCUUAAAUUUCACUCACAAGUAUCCGUUUUUGGCGAUUCAUGCCAAAGGGGGAGAAAAGUAUUAGCCCAAAGCAAAAGGACCGCACCACCACCAAUUUCAAAAAUAUAGUCUUUCAAAUUUGGGUUAAGAAAAGAUUUUUCAUUUGGUAUCUUAUUUUUGAUAUAAUUUCAAAAUGGUAUACCCUCUUCAAAAUUAAAUAUCUAAAACCCUCUUGAACACUAAGAGGAGGAUUUCAUUAAGGGGGAGUUUUGUUUAGUCAAAGGAAAAGCAUUUGAAACAUGGGGAGAAAAUUUCAAAUCAUGAAAAUGCUUCUCAAAAUCUUAUUCAUUUACCUUUGACUAUGUGCAAAAGAUUUUGAAAAAGAAUUCCCAAAACAUUGCAAAACAAAACAAGUGGUGCAAGCGUAGUCCAAAAUUUUAAAUAAGAAGAAAGCAUCCAUGCAUAUCUUAUGAAAAGAAUAUUGGUUUAAUUCCAAGUAACCUUUGCACUUACCUUAUGCAAACCAGUUCAUUUUCGCACUUAUAUAAUUGCUUUGGUUUGUGUUGGCAUCAAUCACUAAAAAGGGGGAGAUUGAAAGGGAAAUAGGGUCAAACAUUUUCCUAAAUGAUUUUGGUGGUUGAAUUGCCCAACACAAAUAAUUGGACUAACUAGUUUGCUCUAGAUCAUACAUUCUACAGGUGCCAAAGGUUCAACACAAACCAAUCAAAAGAACAAGUUAGGCUUCAAAAGAAAGGAGCAAAAAGGAAACCGAAGUGUGCCCUGGUCUGGCUUACCGGACUGUCCGGUGUGCCACCGGACUGUGUCCGGUGCACCAGGGUGAAUCAGCUCAAACUCCUCAGCUUCGGGUUCUCCAGGCGCAGCUCCGCUAUAAUUCAGCGGACUGUCCGGUGUGCCACCGGACUGUCUGGUGCACCAACGAGGCAACGACUACCUGUGCGCAACGGUCGACUCUGCAAAGUGAACAGUGCAAUUCAGAUGUUAGAGCAGAUGGUCAGAGGGGCACCGGACUGUCCGGUGCCACAUGAGGACAAAGCCUCCAACGGUCGACCAGCUCCAAGCCCUAACGGGAGGAUGACGUGGCGGCGCACCGGACACUGUCCGGUGCGCCCAUCGCCAGCAGACUUCUCCAACGGCUACAAUUUGGUUGGUGGCUAUAAAUACCACCCCAACCAGCCACUUCAAGGUGAGGGAGCCCAAGCAACAUUCCAAGUCAUCUAGUUGACAUAUUCAAGCCCUCCAAACCACCUCUAUUCAUUGAUCCAUCCUAUACACAAGAUUUAGACCACUACAACCAACACAAGUGCCACAAAAGAGAGAGCAAGCAAGAGAGGGCUACUCAUUUGAGUUUAGCACUAGUGCCUUGUGAGAUUCAUUGAGAGAUAGUGUGUGCUACAUCUUUGUGUUCAUUUGCGCGUGGAGUUUUGACUCCCAUUGAACUUCCUCCAAAGUUUUGGAGGCUUGUAAAGCUAGCAAGAGACACUAAAGAGUGUGGUGAUCCUUGCGGGGUCUUAAGUGAUCCUUGAGAAGAAGAAGAGCUUGCCGGUCUUUGGUGAUCGGUGGAGAGAGGGAAAGGGUUGAAAUAGACCCAUCCUUAGUGGACUCCUCAACGGGGACUAGGCCUUCGAGGGCCGAACCUCGGUAAAACAAAUCACUCGUGUCUCGUGUGCUUAUUGCUUGUGAUUUGUUUGUUCUUUCCCUUUCUAAGUUUUCUUGCACUAUUCUUUGCUAAUACUAUUUGGUGUUGCUUUAAGUUAAAUUCUCAUAUAGUGAAGCAACACAUCGCAAGAAAGAACUUGUGUCAUUGCUCUUCUUAUCUAAGCCUCCUUGCCUUAUUCUCAUAGACCUAUUAGUUGUAUUUAUCAAUUCUGCAUUAUUUGAAAGCAAUACUCUUUACAAGCAAGGACUUAGUUUUUAUACUCCGAUAAUUGUAUAUCUUGUUCUAACCACUAAUCAAGGGAUCUAGUUGGGGGAUAUAGUUUUAAUUUUCAGGUUUCGCCUAUUCACCCCCCUCUAGGCGACUUUCAAGAAGUUGCCCCGCAAGCUGAAAUUCCACCUGUCGAGAACAACUUCUAUUUUGACAUCUGUGGGACAGACCCAGAACCUCCUGCAACACAAGGCAAGCCCAGUGCAUUUACCCCUUUCCUUGUUGUUUUAAACUCUUUAUCACUUGAAAUGAUGCAUUAGGUGAUAGGAGUUAUGUGCUAAACAAUUGCUGCAUUCCCUUCCUUGGAACUGAUUACCAUUCCUUGAUACCUGUUUUACUUAAAGCUUUCUGAUGCUUAGCUUUGCUUUAGAAAACAAAAUGUUUUGUUUUAAACAAAAGAUGAUGCUUCACAUGGGAUGGGAAGUUUUCAAAGAAAAGACUUGAUGGUGAAUCCAUCAUGGCCAUGAUGGGUUCGACUUCUGAAAAGAUGUACCUCUAUUAGGUGCCAAACUUUGGGUUGUAAAUGAUAAAGACGAGACCGGGCAGGUGACUUGCACGAGAAGGAAGUCUCGGUGUAGUGUCUCCGUCUGAGUCAAUUAAGGACCAUGUCGAUGUGGGCCUGCUGACCGAGGACCUUUUAACUGGCCACAUGUCUCAUCAUGGGUAAGCUUUGCCUCGGUCGGAUCAAUACCAGAAAGGCCACCACGCAAUGGGAGUGGAGAGAUGGCGAGAGUAGCGUGUACCCUCCGUGGCAUGAGGCUGUAUGGUGGUGUAUCUGUGCUAUCGGUUGGCGUGAACCCGUUCUGGUCUUGAGAAACCCGGUGGCGAGUUGAUAUAUGCAAGGGUUAAGUGCUACAUAUGUCGUAUGGUUGGAGAUCCCCAGCUGGGUAUUAAUCGAUUCGGAUCGCCGUUAUUUCUCGGACAUGAAGACUUGGUCACUGACUUACACGUAGAAAUCUAGUGAACUGAAGGGGUGAUAAAAGAUGGCUAGUGUAGGCUAAGUGCCUGGACUAGGAUAGAAAGAACUCUAGAUAUAGGUAAUGACUUAACCUGAUAAUAAAACUAGUUUUUUAAAGAUCCACUGUUAGUAAGCUUUUCUGGAAACAAAGUCUUUGAUCAUUGAUCAGCUUUACCUUGAAUCCCAUAAGCCAGCAUAUCCUUGAGAGUCUUUUUCCUUUGUCGGGUAAGACUUGCGAAAGUACACUCCGUACUCAGGGUUUUCGAACCCAUAUUGUUGUAGGUGAUGAAACAGCCGAGUUUUGUUGUUUCUGCUCGAAGGUGGUGCCAAAGCAGGAGGAAAAUCAGUAAACUUGUUGGCGGGAGGAUGUUUUACUUUCCUGUUAUGUAAUAAUAAAUUAUGCACUCAUACACCUGAUAUUGUAAUAAUACUCUCUCUAUAUUUCAUGAAUGUAAAUUAAGUUAUUGUAAUCCGCUUCCGCUGAUUCUUUACUUCGAUUAUGUGUGUAAUGUCUG
This 10893-nucleotide long non-coding RNA is filed under the name Zea mays. RNAcentral's name for it is "long non-coding RNA (ZMAY_LNC003751)". The record is from RNAcentral. Lineage: Eukaryota; Viridiplantae; Streptophyta; Magnoliopsida; Poales; Poaceae.